This 227-nucleotide ribosomal RNA is filed under the name uncultured Acanthamoeba. RNAcentral's name for it is "partial 18S ribosomal RNA". It matches the Rfam family "Eukaryotic small subunit ribosomal RNA", at positions 97 to 279 of the family's 1831-position model. Lineage: Eukaryota; Discosea; Longamoebia; Acanthamoebidae. The record is from RNAcentral.
CUCAUUAAAUCAGUUAUAGUUUAUUUGAUGGUCUCUUCGUCUUUUUUUUACCUACUUGGAUAACCGUGGUAAUUCUAGAGCUAAUACAUGCGCAAGGUCCCAAGCGCGGAGGGGUAGGGCUUCACGGCUCUAUUCUUGCAUGCGCAGCGGGAUGUAUUUAUUAGGUUAAUCAACCAGCAUUUUAAUCAUCUGGUGAUUCAUAGUAACUCUUUCGGAUCGCAUUCAUG